Molecule: ribosomal RNA, 492 nt
Filed under: uncultured bacterium
Lineage: Bacteria
Description: partial 16S ribosomal RNA
Rfam family: Bacterial small subunit ribosomal RNA
Source: RNAcentral
AGUGAACGCUGGCGGUAGGCCUAAUACAUGCAAGUCGAACGGCCGCACAGUAAGAUUUUGCUUUUGCGGUUGGCGGGUGGCGGACGGGUGAGGCAUACAUCGGCAUCUUCUUUUUCGUGGGGGAUUACGUAGGGCAGCUUACGCUAAUAGCUCAUAUGUUGUACGGGUGAAUGCAGUGGUUAUUGGCAGCUUUCGUGUCUGAUAGAGCUGAGUUCGGAUUAGCUUGUUGGCUUGGUAAAGGCACACCAAGGCGACGAUCCGUAGCCGAUCUGAGAGGAUGAUCGGCCACACUGGAACUGAGACACGGUCCAGACUCCUACGGGAGGCAGCAGUGGGGAAUAUUGCACAAUGGGCGCAAGCCUGAUCCAGCAACACCGCGUGAGUGAAGAAGGCCUUCGGGUUGUAAAGCCCUGUUGUUAGGAAAGAAAAAAAGCAGAUGAAUACCCCGAUGUUCUGACGGUACCCAAACAGUAAGCCCCGGCUAACUUCGUG